RNAcentral lists this transfer RNA (51 nucleotides) under Ophioderma pendulum. RNAcentral's name for it is "partial tRNA-Leu". Lineage: Eukaryota; Viridiplantae; Streptophyta; Polypodiopsida; Ophioglossales; Ophioglossaceae. The record is from RNAcentral.
AAAAUCCGUUGGUCCUUGCAAACCGUGAGGGUUCAAAUCCCUCUACCCUUA